CUCUCUCUCUCUCUCCCCUCUGUGUAUAUUCAUUUACUUCUUGCUUAUAUCAUUAUAUCUACCUACAUCAGUGAAUUAUCACUGUGAAAGUUACUCUCUUUAAGAGAAAGCGUUUGAUGUUUUUGACCUACUAGUGUGAGAAGUUGGGUGAGUUUCUCUAUACAGGAAGAUGAAGUGAAGCGACCCUCUUCAUCACUAGGAAUUGCUGCUGAACUGUGCGGUUCUUGUUCUUUCUGUUUUCUUUUUCCCCCCGGACUGUGUUAUACUUGAAAAUAUUAAAAUACAAGAGUGGUAUAUCGGUAAUGUUGAAGGUUUGAUAUGGAUUUUCGUGAAAAGAUAUGAUAUGAGUUAGACUGGCUUUUUAAGCUGAGGAUCUAUUUUGUUACUGUUUGUAGGGUGUAUAAUCGCGUCAAUCAAGUCUUUGUUAUUUGGUCUCAUUUUAUAUUGUAUUGCCUUUUGUUAAUACUUAUAUAUAUGUAUUAAAUGUUAAUAUUCAAAAUUUUAGACUGUUUCUUAAAUGGGAAUGUGAUUCUUUCAUGGAAUAUUACUGUGCGGUUGGAUAGAAUGCCUUUUUGCUAUUGGCUUCAGUUUGCUUCUGAAGCCUUUAUCAUCAUUAUUAUCUUCUUUUUUUAGUGGACUUUUUUUUCUCUUAUUUUUUCUUCCCUUUUGUAUUGUAUGUUAUUCCUGACAAAGAAGGAUGCUGGUUAUGGCCCCUUCAAUUUCGCUCUUGUGUUCUAUGGGAUAAAGGUUGUUGGUUAUAAGAUGAGCAGACAUUUUAUGUCAUGUAUCAGAAAGCAUGCCCAAAAAGCUAAUACUAUCGGCGAGGACCUAUAUGUUCUUGUACGGAAGGCAAAAGGUCUAAUUGGAUAAUAUGUAGAAAGCAGCAAGUGUGAGUUAGAAUGUUAAUUAUUAUAGUUUCUUGAUAGUAUAUACCAAAAUAAUUACUAAAGAUCAACUAGAUAACAUGUAUUAAUGGUAAUUGUAUCAGUUUAAUGAUGUGAGGAAGACCCAAAAUAUUAGGGAAAUGAAAUAGCAUGUGUUGUCAUAUGUUGAGAUGUUAAUCGUUUCUAAUGUUGCCGCAUGUGAUAUUGUUGAGUAAAAAGAUUUAAGUGAAGAAGGGGAUAAAGAUAAACAAGGAGGAGAAAAAGAUAAACCCAAGAAGAUAAUGAAUAGCAGCUUGGAUCUUGGAUAGUGUUUUAGUGUGUUUUUCUUCCUUUUCCUUUGGUUUCUUUUUCUUUUUGUGGUCCUCGAAUAGCUUAAGUUAGAAAAUUGGUAACUAGAGAGCUAUUCGAAAUGUAGCCUUUCCAUUUUGGGGUUUUCCAUCAUUGGCCGCUACACAAGUGUAGCAUAAAGACUUAGAAUGCUUGACGUAAUGGUUGAUCACUAACCUCAGCUAUUAUCGGUAUAUUUGUUCAUUGAAAUGCUAUUUUACAAGUAUUAGAAUUGGUAAUGCUUGUUUGAUUGAUACUGGAUAGAAACUGGCAGCUGUCUUGAUAGAAAUUUUGCGGAGAAAUUCCUUUUGUGUUAAGCUAUUAUGCAUCUAGGCAAAUGUAGAAGUUAAGUAGUGAAUUAUUUGAAAACUAAUAGGAAAUAUAACUUGCCAUUAGCAAGCAAUUUUAUGAGAUUAAUUUCAUCCGGUGGUGAAUUUUAUGAGAUUAAUUUCAUCCGGUGGUGAAACUUGUAUAGCUUUUUAGUAGG
RNAcentral lists this unclassified non-coding RNA (1698 nucleotides) under Hevea brasiliensis (rubber tree). Lineage: Eukaryota; Viridiplantae; Streptophyta; Magnoliopsida; Malpighiales; Euphorbiaceae. The record is from RNAcentral.